CUAGAUAAAAAUGAAUCGACCAGGUUUUCACAGAUCUAAUUCAAGUUCAACCUGUAAACUAGAGGAACCUGUUAUACUCAGGAGACAAAGUUCUGUGAAAAGUUUGGUGAGUUUGGCAGGUAUAAGGAGGAAGAAAAGAAAGGAUUCUGAUUCUGUCAGUUGUACAGACAGUUGUACAACUGCGGAAAGUGGACGUGAUGUACUGCAGGAAAUGGUUUCUUUCAAAAAAAGAUUAAGCCGACGAAUGAGUUCUAUCCUGGAUUUUUCCAAGCCUUCCUCCGACGGAAGACGACAUUUAGAUUCUGUACCUCAUGUCAACAAUGUGAAGUUUACGAUAAGUGCCGAGGUUGAUGAUGACGGAUUGGAAAAUAAUAUAUCCAUCCCUAGACGGAUUCAAAGGAAAGAUAUUCCUAUAUGCUGGUUAGAUGAAUCUCAAGUUGUUCAAACACGACGGUUAAAUAAGAAAGCGAGGACGGAUAUAUUCUCUAACCUUGUGGAUACACUCUAUAACAGACAUCUAGCUAGGUAUAGAAUAGGACGGAUAUAUUCUCCAACCUUGUGGAUACACUCUACACCAGACAUCUAGCUAGGUAUAUUUUAACUUUCCUGCGAGAAGAGGAUUUUGUCAACAUGAGUCAGGUUUGUGAUACCUGGCAGGAGUUUAUGUACGGGACA
RNAcentral lists this unclassified non-coding RNA (675 nucleotides) under Eurytemora carolleeae. RNAcentral's name for it is "uncharacterized LOC111702279". The record is from RNAcentral. Lineage: Eukaryota; Metazoa; Arthropoda; Copepoda; Calanoida; Temoridae.